AGAGUUUGAUCCUGGCUCAGAUUGAACGCUGGCGGCAUGCUUUACACAUGCAAGUCGAACGGCAGCACGGGUGCUUGCACCUGGUGGCGAGCGGCGAACGGGUGAGUAAUGCACCGGAACGUACCCAGUAAUGGGGGAUAACACAUCGAAAGAUGUGCUAAUACCGCAUACGCCCUGAGGGGGAAAGCGGGGGAUCGUAAGACCUCGCGUUAUUGGAGCGGCCGAUGCCGGAUUAGCUAGUUGGUGAGGUAAGAGCUCACCAAGGCGACGAUCCGUAGCUGGUCUGAGAGGACGACCAGCCACACUGGGACUGAGACACGGCCCAGACUCCUACGGGAGGCAGCAGUGGGGAAUUUUGGACAAUGGGCGCAAGCCUGAUCCAGCCAUGCCGCGUGAGUGAAGAAGGCCUUCGGGUUGUAAAGCUUCUUUCGCAAGGAAGGAAAACUUAUCUACUAA
RNAcentral lists this ribosomal RNA (456 nucleotides) under uncultured bacterium. RNAcentral's name for it is "bacterial SSU rRNA". It matches the Rfam family "Bacterial small subunit ribosomal RNA", at positions 8 to 464 of the family's 1533-position model. The record is from RNAcentral.